This is a non-coding RNA of Pelobates cultripes (western spadefoot toad), 217 nucleotides long. The record is from the annotation of a GenBank genome assembly. NCBI's taxonomy places the organism in Eukaryota, Metazoa, Chordata, Amphibia, Anura, Pelobatidae.
CCCACUUCCCAGUCUGGAUUCCACGCUCAUCACUCUGUCGAAACAGCUCUGACCAAAGUAUCCAAUUACUUAAUCACUGCAAAAUCUCAAGGUCAAUAUUCUAUCCUAAUUCUCCUUGACAUUUCUGCUGCUUUUGACACUGUUGAUCAUCAACAGCUUCUUCUCAUCCUCCAUAAUCUCGGUCUUCCUCAUUGUGUUCCUCCAAUCUCUCCCUGUG